CAAAAUGUAGCUUAAACCAAAGCAUUCUGCUUACACCUGAAAUAUGUUUACUAUAUAAACCGUUUUGA
This 68-nucleotide transfer RNA is filed under the name Mecistops leptorhynchus. RNAcentral's name for it is "tRNA-Val". Lineage: Eukaryota; Metazoa; Chordata; Crocodylia; Crocodylidae. The record is from RNAcentral.